Molecule: ribosomal RNA, 271 nt
Filed under: uncultured Sphingobacteriales bacterium
Lineage: Bacteria; Pseudomonadati; Bacteroidota; Sphingobacteriia; Sphingobacteriales
Description: partial 16S ribosomal RNA
Rfam family: Bacterial small subunit ribosomal RNA
Source: RNAcentral
CCAUCAGGUCAAGCUGGGGACUCUAAUGAAACUGCCUACGCAAGUAAGUGAGGAAAGGUGGGGGAGUGACGUCAAAUACAGCACGGCCCUUACGUCCAGGGCUACACACGUGCUACAAUGGCCGAUACAGAGGGCAGCUACCUGGUGACAGGAUGCAAAUCUACCAAAGUCGGUCUCAGUUCGGAUCGGAGUCUGCAACCCGACUCCGUGAAGUUGGAUUCGCUAGUAAUCGCGCAUCAGCCAUGGCGCGGUGAAUACGUUCCCGGGCCUU